UGGGGAAUAUUGCACAAUGGGCGCAAGCCUGAUGCAGCGACGCCGCGUGAGGGAUGACGGCCUUCGGGUUGUAAACCUCUUUCAGCUCCGACGAAGCGCAAGUGACGGUAGGAGCAGAAGAAGCACCGGCCAACUACGUGCCAGCAGCCGCUGUAAUACGUAGGGUGCAAGCGUUGUCCGGAAUUACUGGGCGUAAAGAGCUCGUAGGCGGUUUGUCGCGUCGUCUGUGAAAUUCUGCAGCUUAACUGCAGGCGUGCAGGCGAUACGGGCAGACUUGAGUACUACAGGGGAGACUGGAAUUCCUGGUGUAGCGGUGAAAUGCGCAGAUAUCAGGAGGAACACCGGUGGCAAAGGCGGGUCUCUGAGUAGUAACUGACGCUGAGGAGCGAAAGCGUGGGUAGCGAACAGG
Molecule: ribosomal RNA, 409 nt
Filed under: Actinomycetes bacterium
Lineage: Bacteria; Bacillati; Actinomycetota; Actinomycetes
Description: Actinobacteria bacterium partial 16S ribosomal RNA
Rfam family: Bacterial small subunit ribosomal RNA
Source: RNAcentral